CUUUUGAUUUGUCCAAAUCAUGUACAUGUCAUUUAAAUAUGAAUAAAGGCGUUAUGUUUUAUCAUAUGCUGUUGAUUAUAUUUAUGAUAAACUCCUUAGAUUAGGGCAAUGGUUUUAAGACUAUGAUGAGAUCAUACUAGUGAGAUUUAAAAUCCUAAAAUCCUAAUCUUAAAUAUUCCCAGUCAUUGGUACAUUGAGUCGGGGAUCAAUGAUUACCGGAAAGACUGGCAUGUCUUAUGUAUGCUCGAUGCAGAGGAUGAUUGAUCUCACAAUCAUUUGUGUGGAGAUACUAAUACAAAGAUGUGGGUGCUCAUUAGAGGAAUGAGUUUACUGAAUUGACCUACAAANNNNNNNNNNNNNNNNNNNNAGUCGAUUUCAUCGUCCUUGAUAUGGAACCUAUGCCCAAUCUCAAGAAACAGAUCCCCAUGAUUCUUGGUCGUCCCUUUCUAGCUACAGCCAAUGCAUGUAUUAACUGUAGAACGGGGGUGAUGGAUGUAUCCUUUGGGAACAUGAAAGUCAAACCGAAUGUAUUCCACGCCUCCGAUCAACCUGCAAGGGAAGAUGAGUGUUUUCUAGUAGACAGAAUGGACGAUCUUGUAGAAGAAGCCCUUCCCUAUAUUCUGACAGAUGAUCCUCUGGAAGCAUGUCUAGCCCAUUUUGACAUUGAUAAUCUUGAUUUAAACAAUGCCAUAAAAGAAGUCAAUGUCCUACUUGACAAUCUGUCUCUCACAAAGUCUCAUCCUUGGCAUGUCCGAUAUGAACCUCUUCCUACUCUUUCUAGUACACUACAGUGCCCCUCCAUCGAGUCCCCUCCCAAACUUGAGUUAAAACCACUUCCGGUAACCCUUAAGUAUGCUUUUCUAGGACCCGAAGAUACCCUACCUGUAAUCAUCGCAGCUGACCUAUCUGACAAACAGGAAAGUCAACUUUUGAGUGUACUCGGAGAACACAAACAUGCAAUUAGAUGGUCUGUAACUGAUCUAAAGGGAAUUGACCCAUCUAUUUGCAUGCAUCGCAUUCACCUAGAAGAAAAUGCAAAACCAACUCGUGAAAUGCAAAGGAGACUUAACCCUAACAUGAAAGAGGUGGUCAAGAAAGAAGUAGUAAAGUUGCUAGAUGCUGGAAUCAUUUAUCCUAUCUCUGAUAGCAACUAGGUGAGUCCGACUCAAGUAGUACCAAAGAAGUCGGGCAUUACUGUGGUUGAAAAUGCAGAAGGAGAAUUAAUGCCUACAUGCACGAUCNNNNNNNNNNNNNNNNNNNNNNNNNNNNNNNNNNNNNNNNNNNNNNNNNNNNNNNNNNNNNNNNNNNNNNNNNNNNNNNNNNNNNNNNNNNNNNNNNNNNNNNNNNNNNNNNNNNNNNNNNNNNNNNNNCCCUUGCUCUUCAAGGGUCGACUCUUUAACAACAUGAGUCGACCUUUACACUGUUUCCUCUACAGUUUCUUGUAUUCUGCUUUGGAUGCACCACACUUGUGCCCACAUGGUAAUCAUCCGCUCCUCCCACACUCUGCUAGAUCCAACUAAUGACAGUAGCUGAGUCGCUCUUAAGCACUAAGGUAUUGACCUGCAACACACAUCAAGCAUACUUUAGGCCGGUAUAGGCAGUCCUCAAUUCUACCUCGAGGAUAAAGGUAUCGAAAAUCUGGAGCCGUCUGAACCCCUGAUGAUGAAGCCAGCUCCCUCUCACUUUCUCUCUCCUUCCCCUAACGCCAUUUGCACCGUUUGAUUCCCGUGAUGACACCCCUACCGACCAUCCUCUUUUGGCAGGUCAUUCACGACUUUGGACCCCUAAUCCUUGCUUAUAUUGGAUCCCCCUUCCCUUGACCUUGUUGAUUGCCCCUUGGUUCGGGUCAGAUUCAGGAUGUUAGGCACCUUGCUAGUGGAAUUGGGCGUGACCUGCUUUUCUCAGCUUUGAUGGAAGUUGGCUUUGGAGAGCUUGCUUGAUCGGUUUCUCUGCACUUUUCACAUUCAACCGCUGCUCAUGAGCUUCUAGUGAGCCUGUUAACUCAUCCAUUGUCAUUAUGGAUAAAUCCUUCGACUCUUUAAUUGUUCAAACCAUACUAUUAGUAUUCACAAGACUAAUCACUUGCGAUGACAAUGUGUUCAAAUGUUGCUAUUAGUAUUCGCAAGAUCCUUUCUGCCAUAGCAAUCUCCAUUUGCUCUCAUUUAGUUUGUCAAGGCCAACACUCGAAAUAUUAGGAAAUAAUAGUUUUGACAUUUAUCAUUUGCAAAAGCUCAAAUUGACAUCUCAAAGUUUGAAGGCUCAUAUUUUUAGCUAAAUUCGUUUUCAUUUGUUCUUCAUUUCCUCAAUAUUUUUUCUAAAAAAUAAAAUACAAAAAUAAAAUGAUUCGAGCCUAAAUUCGGUUCUGUUUCAGCCUUUAUUCGGGCUCAGGCUCAGUCAGACCAGUGACAUACCCGAGCCCGGCCCAAAAAAUAAAUUCGGACUCUGUUUCAGCCCUUAUUCGUAUCUACGCGUGCUUGGUAUGUAGCCUAUUCCUCGGUACCUUCCAAAUUUUUUAUAUGAACCCAUGUAUGCAUUUCUAAUAGCUACAAACUUGCUAACCACAUAUAUGUUUUCAGGACUAGGCCAAAUUUUUCCUUUGAACAGCCCCAAACACCUUAUCUUAAUUCAUCCGCAAAUAUUUUUCACAUAAUCUCACGAAACCAAUGAGAAUAGGAAGGGCAAACUUGUGCAAUCCAAUGAAAUAUCACCUUUUCUACCCUGAUACCCAUAAAAGACACAAACAGCAAUUUCAGCUUACAGGUAAUCACUACUGGGGAUAACAGCCUUUAUCCCAGAACACAAUUUCCUUAUCCUGGAACCACCAGUAUCCACCCGAGUAACUCCAAUUUAUCCCCACUUCCCCCCUAUUCUCCAACCAAACUGGAUCUCAUGACCUACCAUGGAAAAAGGAGAAGCAAUCCAAGGACAAGAUGUUGUUAUCCUCAAUGAGUAUAACUAAUUCAAGAAUAAUGUAGGAUAAGGCUUGUCUUUUUUGGGAUAAAUCAUUUUUAUCCUGUCUCAUGAUUAUGCUGUACAAUUGCACUAACUGAUAUUAUAAUAACUAUCUUGAAAGCGAGCGAUCCGUGCCUUAUUCUUUAUCAAAAAAAUAUUAUAGUAAUUACUUUUGGAUUAAAUGACUAACAAGACUUUACCUUCUUGCUUGGUUACCCUUAAAGAUAAAUUAUCCCCCGGAUGCCAACAAUCCGCUAAACACCAAUUGUCCCAGACCUGACCAUAAUUGUCAAGGACCAGUAACUGCGUCCCACUGAAACAGUCCAUUUGUCAAUUGCCAUUAAUUCCACGGAUUAUGCAGGUAACUGCCUUAUCCCAACCUCUUAUUCACUUUCCAUAUGCAUUAAUCCUUCAAGGGCAUGAAUGUUACAAUAGGAGGCAAGGUGGGCCUUUAUCCUCCAAGCUUACAAAAUGGAGAAGCAAACAAACAAACAGACAGAUAAAAAGCAUGGGGAGUUCGUGAAAACAAUGUUCCCUGUUUUGGGUGCAUAUAUUCAUUGUGUUUGAAACUUUACUAGACUGGCAGACAGACAGACUUGCUCACCAAACUGUCAAAGAUUUAUACAAGAAGAAUAUACCCCCUGGAUUAAUUUUGCAUAGGACAUCAGAAGCUAUAUAAAUAGUCAGAAAGUCAUAAAGAAAUUCUGAAUGCAUGUAGAAUAGUUUUUUGAAUUGGUGUGGUUAUACGGAACUAUUAAAAAUAUCUUAUAAAUAAAUAAUCUUUUGAAAAAAAAUCAAUCAUCGCAUCUUGGAUUUCAUGAUCCAUGGAUACAUGUACAGGCAAAAGGACUUGUACACAACCCCAACACAUUUGACAUAUAUAUGAAUGCACACAAAAAAUACUUUUUUUUAGAUGAAAAUACUAUUAUGGAAGAGAUCUUGCACAGUGAUAUGCAACUUUAAAUUCAGAAAAAAAUACAAAAUUAAGCCCUUAACACUGCCUAUUCUUUGGGAAGCUGCUCUCGAACAUAAGAUAGCGAGCUCCAAUUCACCUUGUUGACAAAUUGCUAAUCAACUUAUACACAACACUAGGUAUAUGUUUGGCCGUGAGCGAAAAAGAGGUAUCAGCAGGCUUCUCAGCUGGGCAGAAUCUUAUCUGUCGAAAGAAUGUAGAUGCUAAGAAAUACUUCAAAAGCAAUAAAUUUAUGUCAUGAAAAAAAUACCUCUUUAUUAUGUACAGAAAUGUCAGACCUCUUCUAAUACAAUGUCAACCUUUUCAAAUAUCAAUUCUUUCCCACCCUAGUAGUUUCUCUUGAAUGCCAGGCCAAGUUGGUGCAGUGCCUACUUUCUUCCCCACCUCCUAAUCAAUUCAACUCAUAGGUAUGGUUUUAAUUACUACGCAGGAACCAUUGCAUUCUCCAAACAGUAUAUUAAAUCUUCAUCCAUGUUUUGCAUCGGCCAUUACUCCAGUGGAAGAAAUAGUAAAUGCUGGAUUGAUUUUUUUUCUCCUUGACCGCAAAAAUGUUCAGAGCUAAAAAGGAUGUUUGUUCUUUUCCACUUGUAUAUGAACCGAGCAUAAUCUUCUAUAAUAGCAGGAGUCUUCAGCAUCAUACAUGAUAAACCAUGCCGACCUCAAUCAGGGAGGCAUGUGGGAUCCCAAGUGCGACGGCUGGCCUGCGAGAGUUACGCCGAAGAAACCCGUACACAACAUCAAUCACAAACUUCUUGAUAAAUGAUGAGGACUCAUGAGCCACCACACAUGUAUGGCCCAUCAUGUAUGACACACCAGCCUCCCUCUCGUCCGCCAAUUCCCUCACCUCUUGCCUCACAUCUGCACCAACCGCCUCUUUGAAUCGCACCCUCUUCUUACUUCUCUCAGUCCUUUCAGACCCCAUCACAGCAUCCACCACCAGGUUAGAUGGCUGACCAACCACUGACAUCUCACCAUUAACCAACGAAUCCCCCACUUCCUGCUGCAGAUAUUCUGCCACUUUCAUGAGCAGCUGAUUCUCAAACUCGUAACUGUCCCUUCCUCCAUCCUUGUACCCAUACCUCACAAUGCACCGAAAGAGGCGAUACUCUGGUGGGCCAAUCCUUCCAAUCAAGAAGCGCUCAUCAACUGGAACUUUUGGCACUGUAAGUGUCCGUAAGCAGACAAAGAUGAGGAUGCGAUGGAAUGCAGGAAAGUUUGUGACAAAGUGAGCAAACAUGGGAGGGACACCAGUCAUGAUGUUGGAGUAUACAAGGCCAACUCCAGGCACUCGAACAAGGCCAAGGCUGGGGCUGAUGCUGAGGAGAUAGUCGAGGCAGACCUUGUUCUGUAGCUCGAAGGCCUGUUUCUUAGCAGUGCCAUAGUGCCAUGCGGACAUAACAAGCAAAAUGAUUAGUGAAAAGAUGAGGGGAAACCAGCCUCCAUGAGGAACUUUGACAAGGCAUGCGGAGAAGUAGAGGAGCUCCAAGGAUCCGAAGGUAAUAACAAAGAGGAGCACCAAGAAUAUGGAUCGCUUCCAGACAGUAGUGAUGAUUAGGAACAUAAGACAAGUUGUUACAAACAUUACAAUAAUCACAGCAAGGCCUGCAAAAGGAAAUAUAUGUCAUAUGCUCACAUAACACCAGUCCACUCUGUUUCGUUAUAAUCAAAAUGGAAAGUGAAGAAACACAUACCAUAAGCAUUUCCUAUCAUAUCAAUGUCUCUAAAGCCAAUGGUGACAGCAAGACAUAACAGCAUGAGAAGCCAGUUCACCUCUGGUAUGUAUAUCUGCCCAUGUACAUGGCUCGAUGUGUGUAUAAUUUUCACACAGGGGAAACAUCCCAAAGCCCUACAUUGACUAAUUAUGGAGAAGGUAGCUGAGAUAAUUGCCUGACUCCCAACAACCGUGGCUAACGUUGCAAUGACAAGCACUGGCCAAAAUACGCUCUCUGGAUUGGGGGAAAACAGAUUGCAGAGAAAGCAUAAGAUUAUAUCACUUAAAAAUGAUUAGUAAACUAGUAGCUCAUGAAUAAAUACUAAAUGUUUUAUAUGAUAAAGCCAUCAUAAUAAAGGACCAGCUUGACCCAGUUCUUACAUCUACAAGUAAAUAAUAGAGGACCCAGCAAAUAUUAGCGAGCAAUAUUAGGUGAAACAAAAAAAGCUCAGAAGGUUAUAGUUGUCAGUAACAAACUAAAUAAUCAUGUAAAUUCCUAACAUUUCCUUCUUCAAUUUUAUAGGAUUAUUAAAGGGACAAGUUAAGAUUUCCUUUGUUGAUGUCCAUGAAUCACUCUAAAAGCAAGUGGUUAAAAAAAGACAGGCACUUUGACUUUUUUUAAUUAUGUAGGACAACAAACGUGAUCUUCAUCUUCCAGUAUGUUCAUAAACAAAGCAUAUCUUAUGUUUCCAUGUCAUAAAACAGGAGCUGUAAGCUAAUAUACCUGGAAGGGCUUUGUAGAAGCUACUGUGGAGGUCCUCCCUAUGCUUUGAUAGGUAGGCAGCUUCACCCAUGUAUGCCACUACCAAGCAGGGAUAAACUACUGCUGUAAAUGCCACCUGCCACCAGAACACAUCUAACAUAAAUAUAAAUUAACACUGAAUAAGCACAGUAUUUGGCAGACUAGAGGUAUAUUAAUGAUAAUAAUCAACAUGAUAGUAUGAAGAAAAUAUGGAAUGCACAACAAGAUAACUUGGGAAUUCAAGAAAAUGAGAUCACAAGUCUCAAACAACCACAAGAAUAUAUGUAAAUGACUCUGAAUAUUGAUGCGUAAUUGGCGAAGCAAAAUGCAAGGCCUCUGCUAUCUUUUGCAUCACCAUAAAUAGACCAUGAUUUUGAAUUUUGGCCAUACUUGGAAACUGGACUUGAUUAUGCUAAGAAUCAGUCUGAAACUAGGUUGGUUUCAAAGUUUUGGCCAAAAAUGACAUACUGGCCCAAUUUAAUGUGUAUAUUGACUGUUUGUAUUACUUUAAAUACAUAAUGUGUAUAUUGGCUUGUUUACUUUAAAUACAUAAUCAUAUAUUAACUUCAUUAAUUUUUUAGUUUUAUCUCUUUUUCUGGCCAAAAAUCCUAUACUCAAAGUGUAAGUACAGACAUUGAAGCUUAAUUGGUCCAGCCUAAACUGAAAUUGAUUUUUCAAACCUUGAUAAACAAAAUUACGAUUGUUGUCAUUUUAUCCAAUCCUAGACAACUAGUUGUUUCAUGAAUCAUUAAAGUGAAAGUUACAAAUAAUACAUUUAUAAAUCAAAUCCAUCUGUUUCCCUUCUCCAGAAGUGAUAUUCAUAGUGCAUAACACUAUGACAACAAUAAAACAAUCCGGUACCCAAUUAAUGGAUAGAGUUGCAUAUAUUUUAUGAGUACAUGUCUUCUACAUACAAAGAUGAGAGAAUCCUCAUCCCUUCCAUACUUGCCUCCUCUAAUUGAUGUGUCCUCGUAUCUUCCCAAAUGCAUAAAAUGCAAGGAUAUUUGUAGUUUUACCUUCAAGUCAGGGUACAUCCAUACAUGUGAAAGUGCAUGUGAGAUACCAAGAUAUUCACAAAAUAGAGAUAACCUUUUGAAUGAUAUCAUCAUUCUAGAGUUUGCAUCUUGCGGUCAUGCUAAAUAUUUGAAUUAAUUAAGAACUCAUGAACUGAAGAGGUAUACAUGGAAUCAUGGAGGACAAGAUGCAUAAAGCAAACCCUGUACUAAUAAGGGUUGCCUAUUAAAAUUAUGAUCAUGAUAUCAUCAGGUAAAAGGUAGAAGAGCAAAGUUACGACGCAUAUAUCUUAGAAAAUUGGUGCAUAACAAAAUCUCCAGAUAGAUACUAGAUAAGAAGAUCAAUUUUAAGAACAAUUUGGUAUUCUUGAUGUGGGGAGGUUCGGAUAUCUUUAGCCUAACAGUGUUUGAAGUAAGAUAAAAGCUAGGAAGCCACACCUAGCUCUCCCAACUGAUAUGCCAGUCAUCUGAAACUGGCCACACCUGUUCCCUGAAAGCAAAAAGAUUAUCGCAACAGUCCUCUUAAUCCAUAUACCAACUACCUUUGCCCCACCUCAUACAAUUCCAAUCCCCUGGUUGUCAAGUUCCCUGUCCCUCUCACCUCCUCCCUACUUUCUUUUCCCUCUCUCAUGCAGCUUCAGACCACAUUGAUCCCCUUACCCCGUAUCCCCUCUUAUCUAUCUCAUGGACCUUCCUUCUCUCCACUGCUGAUCUAUAAAUCCAAUCCACCCUCACUCCAACCCCAGUACAAGUCAUAAGAAGGCCUUCAAUUGUAGGCCUCCAUGAGAAGGUGGUAUCACAAGAGAGUGAAUGGUAAUUUCCUGCAAAAAAAAAAAAUUGGGCUGAAUAUAUAGAGGCUGAGAAGGCUUCUCGUGCCUUCUCAAUGCCUCUUCUCUCAUUUUUUGUAAAAUCUUGAAAACUCACAAAAAGAGAGGGGAUUUUGAUGAUUUCAAGCUGGAUCCAAACCAAAGAAAUGUAUCGUUCCUCUCUCUCCCUCUUCAUUUCUUCUCUUUUCUUUUCAUUUUGAUGCCGGCAGUAAAUUAGAAAAAUAGGAAAGGUCAUGCCAAAUUUUUCAAUUUUGGCAUGAUUUCAUGCUACUAUUGUAGAUCUGGAAAUGAUCUACAAGACACCGAAAUCUUUAUUUUUUAAUAAAUCUGUAAUUUUUAAAUUUAAAAAUGUAUAUUUUUGGAUUAAAAAUAAGAAAUAAAUUAAUAAUAAUAAAAUACUAUAAAAUAACAAGCAUCUUUAGGGGUAUGCAUGCUACACUCGACCAACAUUUAAUGUCACUUUAUUCAAGUUUAGGUACAAUCAUGCGCAUAGUGAUAACGGCCCAAAUUUGAAUAAAAUCGAAAAAUAAGUGGGCUUCCACAUAUGACCAUGGGCUGAGAAAGAGACAUGCAGCAUGGCUGCAUAUCUUUAUUUUUAGAUGUAACUUGGCUAUUGCAAGAACUAAAAACAUUAUGAGGUUGGAGCAAGUGAUGCUUUUCGAUAAUACUCAACUUAUUGGAACUGUUCCAUGAUUACGCAAAGGGCAUCGAGACAGCAUACUCAACUUUAUGAAAAAUUUUGGCUUCAAACUUUCGGCUUUCAUUUUAUUUAAAAGAACCUCAGCUAACAAAAUAACCUUCAACAUGCUAGCUUCUUCAGUUUGACAAAAGUUCUUUUAACAAAACUAUUGCAAUGAUAUGGAAUGUAAAGUUAGUUCCUUGAUCUUGAUCAAAUUUAUGAUUCCAUAAAUUUGACAACAAAAACUAUUAUCAGAAAUAUUAAACCAGCAGCAGCUAAAGAUGAAGAAUCUUAAUUCUAAAAAAAGAAUAGCAGUAGUCCAAGCAUAUUUUAUAUUAUAUGCCUGUACAUAGAUACAAAUGUAUUUUCUGAAUGUACAUGUAUAUACGUACGCAUGUGCACAUAACUGAAAAUUUUUAGCCCAACAAAUAAACUAGUAAAAGAUAAAAAGAGUUUCUUGGAUGUAAAAGUCAUGUUAUAAAGAUCAAAGGAACUUUUGAACCUAUCUUUUUUCAUUACUCGGAUACCUUCUAAAUUAUAUAGUCAACAUGUUUGCGUCUAAAAAAUGACCUUACCCUGAUUGAAAGCUUUGAGAAGUGCCCCAGGUCAGCAAACAUGGCCUCAGCACCUGGUCAAGCAUACCCAGUUUAUGAGCCCAAGUGAAAGAGUAAAGACUAUAUUCUACAUAGACAUAUACAUAUGUACAUACAUGAAUAUAUAUAUAUAGAUGUUUAUUUGUACACAGACACAUAUACAUGUACAUAUGUUUGUAUGUUUGUACAGAUAUAUGUAUAAAUAUGUAUAUAUGCAUUUGUAUACAACCAAAAUGCCACCAACCUGUAAUGCAAAGAACAACACCUCCAAGUGAACUCCAGCCAUCUUUUCCAGCUUUCUUAAAGAAGUUAUAAACAUAAUAUGGUGAUAGAGCACGGACAACACCAGGAUUCCACUUGAAUAUGUUGUAAAUCCCAAUUCCACUAAUGCAGCCAAGCCACGCAAUCAAGAUUGGAGCAAAAAGAAAGCUGACACGAUGUGUCCCAUAGUGUUGCAAUGCAAAAAGGCCCACUAACACAAUGCAGGACACAAAUACAAUGCAAUCUGUAUGCCAAAAGAUAGUUCAAUAAGACAGAACAGUUGUAGAUGAUAAUGCAUGUACUAUUGGGAUAAUAUUUUCCUGUUUGGGUUAAGUAUGUAAAUCUAUGACAAAAUAAAAUAUAUACAUGCACUAAUAACAACUCCCGGGCAGAAAGAAAUUAUCUGGGAAGGAAUGGUAUAACAGUACCAAGGACAAAAACAGAUCAUAGAUCAAAGCAUAAAAGCUGAUAAUGUAAGAGCUCUACAUAAUAACGAUAGCAUACUCCAGUAAGGAGCCUUCAGUGCAUAUUCAAAAACAACGCUGUAGACUUACAGCAUCAGUGAGGUUAUCUUUCCAGGCGCUGGUGACUUUUCAAAAGUAAGAAAUUAUCAUAUGGAAGAACCCACAGUUCAGGUAGAGAAGUUGAUGCUUACUUUCAUGUAGUCUGGGAAUCUUAAUUUUGAGGCCAGAUACUGCAGAGAGGACUGGAAAAAUGCAAAUGAAACAAAGGUUAGUGAAAAUUUCACAAAGGUGUUAAUAACUUGAUAUAAAAACUUCUAAAAGUAUCAGAAUCUUCGUGUUCUACAAACAUAUACGAAGAAAAAAGGUUUCCAUCAUUUUCAGCAAAUUUGAGCAAGAGAGUCAGUCAGCUACUACUACAAAAAUUCUAAAUUUCAGCACUAAACAAUUUUACUAUCUGUAAAACCUUCAACCUGUCAUGUGAAACUAGAACAGAAAUGCUAUCAAAUAUGAGGUGGAUUUCCCAAAAUUGCCAAACUCGAAGCCUGCAAUCGACCUGUCAUCCCAUAUUUCUCAACACAGAAAAAGAAGAGAGAGAGAGAGAGGGAGAGAAUGUUUUGCAGAUUAACGUUACCAGAUCUCAAGGUUUGCAAAUACCAAUAGUACCAGUGUACCGGUGAAGACCGGUUUCGGUACGGUACCGGUCAGAAUCGGUACCGGUCGGAACCGGUACCGAACCGGUUGAGAUAGAAAAAAAACCUACGUCCGACGUGCGGACGCGCACGCACCCGCACGCCUGCGCGUUAAAGCCACUCUGUGCAGCAUUUAAAGCCCACGCGGGCUGCCCCACGUAGGCUUGCUGCCCCGUGCGGUGAGCCCGCACAGGGAAUCGAGCCAGCGCAGGUAACCGCGUGCGGGCACGGUUCCCUGCAAGCGGGCUCGCGAUUCCCCACUCGUGCCCAGUUCCCCACUCGGCCCCACGCGCGGGGGUUUUUUUUCCCCUUAUUUUUUUCUUCCCCUUCUUCUUCCCGAACCCUUCUUCUUCCCCUCUCUCCUCUCUUCUCCUCUCUUUCCCGAUUCUCCCGUUCUCCCACGAGCAAGGAAGGAAGAGAGGUUCUGCUCGCGAGCAAGGAACCUUUCUUUAUUUUUUCUUCCCCUUCUUCUUCCCGAACCCUUCUUCUUCCCCUCUCUCCUCUCUUCUCCUCUCUUUUCCAAUUCCCCCGUUCUCCCGCGAGCAAGGAAGGAAGAGAGGUUCCGCUCGCGAGCAAGGAAGAGAGGUCCUCCUUUUUCCGGUACUUGCUUUUUCUUCUUCCCCGCUUCUUCUCUUCUUUCUUUCUCUUCUUCCCUGCUUCUUCUCUUCUUUCUUCCUCUUCUUCCUCCUCUUCUUUCCUGCUUCUACCGGUGCCGAUCGCACCGGUUUCAGUUCGGUACUGGUUUUCACAGCCGAACCGUACCGGUAGCUGUCAGCACCGAUUCGGUACAACCUGAACCGACCGGUUCCAGUCAAUUCGGCAGACCAUGCCAGAUCUUUAAAAACCUAUAACUGUCAUAAAUUUGUAAGCUAAAGAAUAUGGAUUUCGUAUGUCAAGAAGCAUUUAGAAUAAAUAAUAGUUCAUCAAAACAUCAAAUCAUUCCCCAUUCAAAAUAAAGACCUAUUUAUAGGAUUUUUUUGGUAAAUAAGACCUAUUUAUUUGAUUGAAGUAGACAUAUUAUAUCAUUUUUAACAAGCAGGCCAACCAUACCCGACAUUGCUGGGGUCAAAACACCAUCACCGAUAACCAUGCUUGUCCCCAGAAGCACAAAAAGAAGCAAUGCAAUUCGAGAAGUCCGAUGCUUCUCAAAAAAAUUCUUCACCAACAAACUAGUCCGUGUCUCCUUGCUAGAUGUUUCCAGUUUAUAAGCAGAUAAAUGCUCGUUGGCAGCUUGAGGGGUAGCCAGAAGUCCCAUCUUUGUUUUCCGGCACAUUAAUGAAUACAAAGCAAAUGUCCCACCUGCACACGUUAUAACAACUAAGAAAAGGGCUUGAACCAAUUCAUAGAAGAAAGAAGAAUUUUAGACAGACAUUUUGUGGAUCCUGGGACCACCUUCGCCGUUGUCAUCUGCUCCUAACACAAAGAUGAUGUACUUGCAAAGAGGAAUCAGAGUCAGAGUCCAGAAUACCAGAGAGAGGACUCCAAGGACUUCAGCUUCUUCCUCGUGGAGGCGUAGCUUUCCCGAGAAAGUGCUCUUGUAGACGUAGAUGGGUGAAAUGCUUAGAUCACCAUAUACAACACCAAAGCUCUGGUAGGCCAACAAAAGAGUGGUUCUGUAUGCUUUCUACAAGUGAAAUAGCAAAACCCAUCAGGUCUUUCAUCCAAACAAACAGACAAGGGAAAAAUUGAUGAAGUGGAAUCAAUAAAAUUUAAAAAAGGGUUGGUAUGAAUGGAUUUGACAAAUUCUACAAUAAACCAAAAGAAAAAAAAGGAAUCAGAACAAUCUGAGAAAUAAAAAAUACGAAGAAUCAGAGGGAUAAGAUAAAGGGUGUGAUUGGAGGAAACUAAAUGUAAGAAAAAAGAAAGAAGAUAUCCAAUAAAAAAACAAUGAUUAACUUGAUAUUUCUGCAGUUAAGCAGGUUCUUAAGCAUGAAAAAGACCGCUCAAGAUAGUUUGGUAGCCAGAACAUAUAAUCCAUGGAACUGUUAUCUUACGCGAUAACCAGAUUAAACCAAAAUUUACAGAAUUGCGUAAGUGCAGUGGAUUAAAAAUUUCAUACUUUUCCUCCAAUAACACUCCAGCAAAAACAUUAUAGUUAAUUGUUGGAAAACAGAAUAUAAACUUAGUUAAACGAAUCGUUGAAAAUCUUCACAGAUAAUAAAAAAAAUUGAGAACCCAUGGGGAAUAAUGAUAUGGCUUUAAUAAUCAAGACACUGGUGAUACUAAAAGAAAAUCAUAUUUUUCAAAAUUUAAGAAGCAAAUGCUUUAAAAAUUAUUCUCUUAAAAAUAAAAUUCUAGAUAAUUGAACGCGGAAAUAUUAAACUUCCAUUGCAAUAAUCAUUAUUUCGUUAAAAUUACACACACACACACACACACACAUACUUAAGGAUUUCUCAGAAUCUUAAAAGGAAAGACUUUGAAAAAAUAAAAUAAAAUGAUCUGAUCACCCGAGAAUUUCGCAGUCCGCAAAUCCCUUAACAAGAAAAUAUAAAGAAAAUUAAACAAGAACAAAACCUUAUCUCUUUUUCAUUGACCAAAAUGUCAGUCAGCAUACAAAACAGAUUUUUUUCAUAAUUUUCUAAAGAAAACAAUUUGAAAUAAAUAAGACCUGAAACAAAAUCUGUACAUUUGUAUACUGAAUGACCAUAAAAAUUACAUUUUUGUAAUCAAGAUUCCAGUACAGAUAAUAAAAAUUAGAUUUUCUCAGAAUUUUACGAAGUAAACACCUCAACAAAUUAAAAUUUAAUUCUAUAAAAAGUAAAAUGUCAACAGCUAUCUCCCGUAAAAUCAGAAGAAUUCUUCACUGUGCCCAGUAGACACCAGAAGAGUACACUCGCAUUCAAGAAAUUUGAUAAAAGGAAAAUGUUUUAACAUGCAACAAAUAAAACAAGAACAGCAAGAUAAGUCAGUAAAAUCACUGAAAAAAUCAACCUUCAAACAACAAGAGGAAGGACAAAGAAAAGGGGAAAUUUAAGAGCGCCGAAGAAACACUCACCCAAGAGCGACUCCCGGGAGACCGAGAGCCGGACUCCGGAUCCAUCACCCGAGCCCCGGUCACAAACCCCUUAAUACUCCCACUCCCGAACAACGCCACCGCCGAAAUCCACCGCCAGGGGAUAAAAAUUUCGCCCGGAAGAAGGAAUUCCGAACGGAGAGCUCGAUCGAACGCCUCUCGAAGUUUCGUUCGCGUCGCGCGCCGAGAGAGAGAGAGAGAGAGAGCGGUUAAGGGGGAAGACGUGUCCUAGAAGACUGUGAGAGAGAGAGAGAGAGAGAGGAGGNNNNNNNNNNNNNNNNNNNNAGAGAGAGAGAGAGAGAGAGGGAGCGCCAAAACGUCUCUCCUCUUUCAGGGGCAUCUUGAGCCCACUUCCUUUUAUAGCCAAAUUUGAUAUUCUACACCCCCAAAUUUUUUUUUGUCCUCGCACUCUGAUACUGUGUAAACAGUACAGUGUACUGCACGGCCUCGACUAGCCUGAGGACUGGCUUCCAAGCCUACAGGAAUUUGGUUACUUUCUGGUUCGACUCGAGCUCAAGAUGCCUCUGAUAGGCUAGUUAUGAAAAGGAAUAAGAUAAUGUCAUUGAUAGGCAAGUUGUGAAAAGGAAUAGAGGAUGACAACCUUUGAUUCAUUGAAGGGUUUCUUUAUAGCUAAGGAAUAUUUUGGUUAUAUAAGAUAAUAACGUUUUUGUUUCCAAUGUAAGUAAGAACUAAAUUUGGUUGCUACCUAAACUUUUCGACAAGAAACCAUCAGAGCUGGCCACUUCUUCUAGAGGUGGUUGUGAUAUCGAAAUUUAAAUACCUACUUUAGUAUGGCACAACAUAUAAUAAUUAUUUAGAUUAGUAAAUGCAGAACACCUCACAAGAUAUAAGUUGUUUUGUGAUUAUAUAUAUAGAGGAUUUAAGGUGGAUUUCUGGUUGCCAAUGACAAUUUUAUCUUAAACAAAUUUGCUGAUCUUUAUUUCUGUAUACUUAAAACAAAAAAUAACUUUUCAUAAUUUAAUUAUAUAUUUAUGACAUCCUAAAAACUUCAUAUGGAUAGAGAAUGACAUAGUAGAUGCCAAAUUAAAAUAGAAUUACUAUUUAUUUUUGUAUAAAUAGAAGAAUGAAGAUAGCGGAUCUGAUUUUAGGGUAUCUGCAAGUUAUUCCACUUGAUAUAAUCAGAUUGAAGCAAAAAAUAGUCACAUUUCAAACUAAGAAGUUCUUUAUAUUUAGAUCUUAAUCUUAAGUUUGAAUUAUUAUUUUAUUUAUUUAUCAACCAAGUAAAUUGGUGUAGCCAAACAUCAAGAGAAGAAAAAAAAAAAAAAAGCACCACCCCAUCCAUGAAUAGCCACAAAUUAAAGCGGCGGACAAAAUUUAGAAGUCAGAGAGUAACAAUAGCACUAACGUUUUUUUAUUAUUAGUUUUAAAAACUUUUACCGUUCCCAACGUUUACACCUACCCACCUCCCAUUUCUCCGAUGCGGCCAAACUACCUUACGGAUAUCCUCAUAGACAUUCAAAAACGAGCGCGUCAUCCCGUCUGUCCGCAUACGGCACCAACCCUCGACCCGUUGGACGGGCGGGAUGUUUUCAGGUAGCCAUAUGGACGGUAAAUAUUAUCUCGGCAUAUAAAUAUUUAUGCGGUGCUUUGGAUGAAAGACCCAUCACCGGUUUGCUGUUUGGUCUCAAAUUAGAGUCCUAAUGGAUAUAGAAAAGGUGACAGCUGUUGGUUUCAUUAUUCCUUUCCAUGUGGGGCCCGCGUGGGAAUCCUCCGCUUCCGUGUGUCCUCUUAUGGGUACAAGCGCAAGCAAAUGGCAGCCUACCGUACGAUGCGGAUAUGAUCUACCGCUGUAGCUGACAUGAUGAAAGAUAUGGUGUAUGUUUUGGAUCAGCUGUGGGAAGGAAACAGCGGAUAUGGUAUCUUACGGACACUGACCUGGCACGUUGCCAGUGUUGGGUAGGACUCGUUUGAGUUUGGGCUUGACAUGAUCUUUACCCAAUUCAGGCAGGAUAUGUGUACCAAACUUUAGCAUGGAAUUUAAAUGAUGAUGGAUUGAGUUGGGUUGGUUAGGUGGGUUAUG
Molecule: long non-coding RNA, 15958 nt
Filed under: Phoenix dactylifera (date palm)
Lineage: Eukaryota; Viridiplantae; Streptophyta; Magnoliopsida; Arecales; Arecaceae
Description: long non-coding RNA (PDAC_LNC005779)
Source: RNAcentral